Molecule: ribosomal RNA, 468 nt
Filed under: uncultured bacterium
Lineage: Bacteria
Description: partial 16S ribosomal RNA
Rfam family: Bacterial small subunit ribosomal RNA
Source: RNAcentral
GACGAACGCUGGCGGCGUGCUUAACACAUGCAAGUCGAACGGAAAGGCCCUGCUUUUGUGGGGUGCUCGAGUGGCGAAAGGGUGAGUAACACGUGAGUAACCUGCCCUUGACUUUGGGAUAACUUCAGGAAACUGGGGCUAAUACCGGAUAGGAGCUCCUGCUGCAUGGUGGGGGUUGGAAAGUUUCGGCGGUUGGGGAUGGACUCGCGGCUUAUCAGCUUGUUGGUGGAGUAGUGGCUUACCAAGGCUUUGACGGGUAGCCGGCCUGAGAGGGUGACCGGCCACAUUGGGACUGAGAUACGGCCCAGACUCCUACGGGAGGCAGCAGUGGGGAAUAUUGCACAAUGGGCGGAAGCCUGAUGCAGCAACGCCGCGUGCGGGAUGACGGCCUUCGGGUUGUAAACCGCUUUCGCCUGUGACGAAGCGUGAGUGACGGUAAUGGGUAAAGAAGCACCGGCUAACUACGUG